Molecule: long non-coding RNA, 392 nt
Filed under: Gossypium barbadense (sea-island cotton)
Lineage: Eukaryota; Viridiplantae; Streptophyta; Magnoliopsida; Malvales; Malvaceae
Description: long non-coding RNA (GBAR_LNC016304)
Source: RNAcentral
UCAGUUGAAACCGCCACAUUGUCCAUCGGAGCCAUGAGCUCGCUAUUUGACAUCCUAGGAAACAUAUCUUUAACCGCCUGAAGCGCCUCCACCCACGCAACCCGAUCAUCCCGAGCCUCGGCUCGUAAAUGAAGCCUCUUAGUUCCGGUGAAGAUCGAGAAUCUCUUAUCAUCUGAUCUGCUCUCCCUUAUAGAGGAAACCUGAGAAAAAUUCAAGAAUCAAAUAAUUGAAAAACCAAAUAAAAUUUGUUUUUGUUUUAUUUUCCAUUAAUUCAUUAAUAUUUCUAUUUUUUAACCUUUAGGUGGACUUCACCAAAGGGUUUCCGACGGUUUUGGGAAUGACGAGAAAUGGAAUUGCGAUGUCGGGAGAUAAGACGGAGAGAUUCUUCGCCG